Molecule: ribosomal RNA, 792 nt
Filed under: uncultured bacterium
Lineage: Bacteria
Description: bacterial SSU rRNA
Rfam family: Bacterial small subunit ribosomal RNA
Source: RNAcentral
AGAGUUUGAUCCUGGCUCAGAAUGAACGCUGGCGGCGUGCCUAACACAUGCAAGCCGGAUGUGCCGCAAGGUGCAUGGCAGACGGGUGAGUAACGCGUGGGGAAUCUGCCUUUUUGUGGGGAAUAACGUUCCGAAAGGAAUGGUAAUACCGCAUGUGAUCACAGUUUGGGAUAGCUGUGAUGAAAGCCGGGGACCGCAAGGCCUGGCGCAAGAAGAGGAUCCUGCGUCUGAUUAGCUAGUUGGCGGGGUAAUGGCCCACCAAGGCGACAAUCAGUAGCCGGCCUGAGAGGGUGAUCGGCCACACUGGAACUGAGACACGGUCCAGACUCCUACGGGAGGCAGCAGUGGGGAAUUUUGCGCAAUGGACGAAAGUCUGACGCAGCAACGCCGCGUGGGUGAUGAAGGUCUUCGGAUCGUAAAACCCUGUCGUCAGGGACGAAGGUAAUGUGCCUAAUACGCAUGUUGCUUGACGGUACCUGGAGAGGAAGCCCCGGCUAACUCUGUGCCAGCAGCCGCGGUAAUACAGAGGGGGCAAGCGUUAUUCGGAAUUAUUGGGCGUAAAGGGCGCGUAGGCGGUCUUUUAAGUCAGAUGUGCAAUCCCCGAGCUCAACUUGGGAACUGCAUCUGAGACUGGAAGACUCGAGUGCUGGAGAGGGUGGUAGAAUUCCACGUGUAGCGGUGAAAUGCGUAGAGAUGUGGAGGAAUACCAGUGGCGAAGGCGGCCACCUGGACAGUAACUGACGCUGAGGCGCGAAAGUGUGGGUAGCAAACAGGAUUAGAUACCCCGGUAGU